GAGGAAGGGAAAGUCGUAACAAGGUUUCCGUAGGUGAACCUGCGGAAGGAUCAUUG
RNAcentral lists this ribosomal RNA (56 nucleotides) under Doronicum maximum. Its description in RNAcentral is "partial 18S ribosomal RNA". It matches the Rfam family "Eukaryotic small subunit ribosomal RNA", at positions 1776 to 1831 of the family's 1831-position model. The record is from RNAcentral. Lineage: Eukaryota; Viridiplantae; Streptophyta; Magnoliopsida; Asterales; Asteraceae.